RNAcentral lists this ribosomal RNA (251 nucleotides) under uncultured bacterium. RNAcentral describes it as "partial 16S ribosomal RNA". It matches the Rfam family "Bacterial small subunit ribosomal RNA", at positions 524 to 776 of the family's 1533-position model. The record is from RNAcentral.
UACGAAGGGUGCUAGCGUUGUUCGGAAUUACUGGGCGUAAAGCGCGCGUAGGCUGCCAUUCAAGUCAGGGGUGAAAUCCUUGGGCUCAACCCAAGAAUUGCCUUUGAAACUGUAUGGCUAGAGUGUCGGAGGGAUAGCGGAAUUCCUAAUGUAGAGGUGAAAUUCGUAGAUAUUAGGAGGAACACCGGUGGCGAAGGCGGCUAUCUGGACGACAACUGACGCUGAGGCGCGAAAGCGUGGGAGCGAACAGG